AAUCAACGCUGGCGGCGUGCCUAACACAUGCAAGUCGUACGCGAAAGGGGCUUCGGCCCUGAGUAGAGUGGCAAACGGGUGAGUAACGCGUGGGUGACCUGCCUUCGAGCGGGGGAUAACGUUCCGAAAGGGACGCUAAUACCGCAUGACAUCCUGUCUUUAGACAGACGGAGAUCAAAGCCGGGGAUCGCAAGACCUGGCACUCGAAGAGGGGCCCGCGUCCGAUUAGCAGUUGGUGAGGUAAUGGCUCACCAAGGCGACGAUCCGUAGCUGGUCUGAGAGGACGACCAGCCACACUGGGACUGAGACACGGCCCAGACUCCUACGGGAGGCAGCAGUGGGGAAUAUUGGACAAUGGGGCAACCCUGAUCCAGCAAUGCCGCGUGUGU
This 389-nucleotide ribosomal RNA is filed under the name uncultured bacterium. Its description in RNAcentral is "bacterial SSU rRNA". It matches the Rfam family "Bacterial small subunit ribosomal RNA", at positions 32 to 406 of the family's 1533-position model. The record is from RNAcentral.